Molecule: non-coding RNA, 694 nt
Organism: Camelina sativa (false flax)
Lineage: Eukaryota; Viridiplantae; Streptophyta; Magnoliopsida; Brassicales; Brassicaceae
Source: RefSeq, a predicted model, not a curated record
CGUGACCUUUGAGUCAGUGGCCCAAACCAUGAAGUCGUCGAUGUCGGAGAGAGUCAUUGGUCGGAGAUGGAUUUUCUCCGGAAGUGAGGUGAAGGAAGGAAACAGAACGUUCCUUGUUGCUUCGAACGGUCAAAUACGCAACAAUAAGGUCUUGUUGAAUGGAAGGUGUGAAAAAAGAGGUUUUACGAGGAGAACCGUAGAAUCUCCAUCUUCAGCUUCAGUUUCCUGCAAGCCCAAAACCUGUGAAAGAAUCUGGAAAUGUCCACCAUGAUAAAGUUAGUAGAGAUGGUAAAGACAACAAUAGUGGAUAGAAGCCAUAUGUGAAAUGGAAUGAUGUUGCUGGACUUGAUGGAGCUAAAACAGCUUUACUGCAGAUGGUGAUACUACCGAGAGUACUCUUCAUACAAAUGACUUAUACGGUUAUACCUGGACUUGAUGGAGCUAAACAAGCUUUAUGUUGUAGGAUGUCGUCUCUCAUAUAAAUGUCAAAACCUUGCAACUGCAGCAGCGAGACAUUCUCUGCUCUCCAUGAUCAUAUAAAGCUUGCUCUCAAGUCUUCAGAAUCUUAUACAUUUCUAACUUGUUGUUCUGUUUUUUUUUCUUCCAGGUUUUGGAUAUGUUUAUAUCAAUCAAUGAUGGCUUUGUACUUAACAUAUUAUAAUUUUCAAAAUAAUUUUUCUAAAAAAUUAAAAAC